UACGAAGGGGGCUAGCGUUGCUCGGAAUCACUGGGCGUAAAGGGUGCGUAGGCGGGUCUUUAAGUCAGGGGGGAAAUCCUGGAGCUCAACUCCAGAACUGCCUUUGAUACUGAAGAUCUUGAGUUCGGGAGAGGUGAGUGGAACUGCGAGUGUAGAGGUGAAAUUCGUAGAUAUUCGCAAGAACACCAGUGGCGAAGGCGGCUCACUGGCCCGGAACUGACGCUGAGGUGCGAAAGCGUGGGGAGCAAACAGG
RNAcentral lists this ribosomal RNA (253 nucleotides) under uncultured bacterium. Its description in RNAcentral is "partial 16S ribosomal RNA". It matches the Rfam family "Bacterial small subunit ribosomal RNA", at positions 524 to 776 of the family's 1533-position model. The record is from RNAcentral.